Molecule: long non-coding RNA, 306 nt
Filed under: Durio zibethinus
Lineage: Eukaryota; Viridiplantae; Streptophyta; Magnoliopsida; Malvales; Malvaceae
Description: long non-coding RNA (DZIB_LNC000700)
Source: RNAcentral
GAGUUACUUGCUUUGAAUGUUGUAAGGGAGGCUGAUCGGCCUGUGACUGAAGCAGCUGCUACUAGUACUGCUUCUUUGACAGCCAAUGCACCUUUAUCAGCUGUCCAAUCUUCUCAUGCACCUUCACCAGCAGUCCAAUCUUCUCAUGCACCUUCACCAACAGCCCAAUCUUCUCAUGCACCUUCACCAACCCUCCAAUCUUCUCAACCAGUAUGGGCAAGUUCAUCUAGCACUUAUGAAUCUAGUUCACAGCCAUACUCAGAGCAAAAAAUGUGUCAUGGAGAAGCUAGCCAGCAGCCGUCUUCC